GGAGAGGUGCUGGAGUGGCUGAACAGGCACGCCUGGAAAGCGUGUAGGGGCUUUACGGUCCCUCGUGGGUUCGAAUCCCACCCUCUCCGCCA
This 92-nucleotide transfer RNA is filed under the name Chloroflexota bacterium. Its description in RNAcentral is "Chloroflexi bacterium tRNA-Ser". It matches the Rfam family "tRNA". Rfam says of the family: Transfer RNA (tRNA) molecules are approximately 80 nucleotides in length. Their secondary structure includes four short double-helical elements and three loops (D, anti-codon, and T loops). Further hydrogen bonds mediate the characteristic L-shaped molecular structure. tRNAs have two regions of fundamental functional importance: the anti-codon, which is responsible for specific mRNA codon recognition, and the 3' end, to which the tRNAs corresponding amino acid is attached (by aminoacyl-tRNA synthetases). tRNAs cope with the degeneracy of the genetic code in two manners: having more than one tRNA (with a specific anti-codon) for a particular amino acid; and 'wobble' base-pairing, i.e. permitting non-standard base-pairing at the 3rd anti-codon position. The record is from RNAcentral. Lineage: Bacteria; Bacillati; Chloroflexota.